UGGGGAAUUUUGGACAAUGGGGGCAGCCCUGAUCCAGCCAUGCCGCGUGAGUGAAGAAGGCCUUCGGGUUGUAAAGCUCUUUCGGACGGAACGAAAUGGUCAGGGUGAAUAUCCCUGACUGAUGACGGUACCUGAAGAAUAAGCACCGGCUAACUACGUGCCAGCAGCCGCGGUAAUACAGAGGGUGCAAACGUUGUUCGGAAUUACUGGGCAUAAAGCGCGCGUAGGCGGCGACGUAAGUGUAGGGUGAAAUCCCACGGCUCACCCGUGUGAAUUGCCCCGCAUACUGCGUUGCUUGAGUGUGGUAGGGGAGAGCGGAACUCCUGGUGGAGCGGUGAAAUGCGUAGAUAUCAGGAGGAACACCGGUGGCGUAGGCGGCUCUCUGGUCCAUAACUGACGCUGAGACGCGAAAGCGUGGGGAGCAAACAGGAUUAGAUACCCACGUAGUCCCUGAGCGGGCUGGCAAGGCGCAU
RNAcentral lists this ribosomal RNA (473 nucleotides) under uncultured bacterium. Its description in RNAcentral is "bacterial SSU rRNA". It matches the Rfam family "Bacterial small subunit ribosomal RNA", at positions 355 to 825 of the family's 1533-position model. The record is from RNAcentral.